RNAcentral lists this non-coding RNA (209 nucleotides) under Streptococcus sinensis. RNAcentral describes it as "T-box sequence". It matches the Rfam family "T-box leader". From Rfam's summary of the family: Uncharged tRNA acts as the effector for transcription antitermination of genes in the T-box leader family. T-boxes are found upstream of many aminoacyl-tRNA synthetase genes and some amino acid biosynthetic genes usually in Gram-positive bacteria. The record is from RNAcentral. Lineage: Bacteria; Bacillati; Bacillota; Bacilli; Lactobacillales; Streptococcaceae.
AUCUUAUAAUUGUAGAAACACAAAUCAGACAAAAUAUUUUCAGCGAGCAGGUGAUGGUGAGAGGCCUGUAAUCUCUUUUGUUUGAUUUAUCAUUCUGUCUAAUCAUAUCUGAACUGAGUAAGAUAUGACGUCUGCCUACGUUACGGGCUAAGAGGGACAGGCUUUUUCCUGUCUAAACAAAGGUGGUACCGCGAAUUUUCGUCCUUUAG